AGUCGUAACAAGGUUUCCGUAGGUGAACCUGCGGAAGGAUCAUUAACAAAUCGUAGUUGUAGAAGGUGUGGCAACACGCUCUUCUACACAUACACCCGCUCCAGUGCAGCAAUGCCUGGUCGGUGCUCUGUUUAUCCUCUAAACCGGGAUGUAUCAGAGCGACCGCAAACGCAAGUGCGCGGUCACAUAGACGCUUUUUUGUUUGACAGAGUUUAUUGUAUGCAAAUAUAAAUACAACUUUUAACAAUGGAUCUCUUGGCUCUU
RNAcentral lists this unclassified non-coding RNA (264 nucleotides) under fungal sp. RNAcentral describes it as "partial internal transcribed spacer region". The stretch from base 1 to 45 matches the Rfam family "Eukaryotic small subunit ribosomal RNA", at positions 1787 to 1831 of the family's 1831-position model. Lineage: Eukaryota; Fungi. The record is from RNAcentral.